UACGGAGGGUGCAAACGUUGCUCGGAAUUAUUGGGCGUAAAGCGCACGUAGGCGGUCCGCUAAGUCGGGUGUGAAAUCCCUCGGCUUAACCGAGGAAGUGCAUUCGAAACUGGCGGGCUUGAGUACUGAAGAGGGUCGCGGAAUUCCCGGUGUAGAGGUGAAAUUCGUAGAUAUCGGGAGGAACACCAGUGGCGAAGGCGGCGACCUGGGCAGAUACUGACGCUGAGGAGCGAAAGCCAGGGGAGCAAACGGG
Molecule: ribosomal RNA, 253 nt
Filed under: uncultured bacterium
Lineage: Bacteria
Description: partial 16S ribosomal RNA
Rfam family: Bacterial small subunit ribosomal RNA
Source: RNAcentral